Molecule: long non-coding RNA, 670 nt
Organism: Suricata suricatta (meerkat)
Lineage: Eukaryota; Metazoa; Chordata; Mammalia; Carnivora; Herpestidae
Exons: 4
Source: RefSeq, a predicted model, not a curated record
GCCGAGUCGGGAACGCAGGGUGUCUGAGCGGCCCUGGAUCCCCGGGGCCUCGCCCUGCCGCCCGCCCCCCAACAUCCCCAGGCUCUAGAGCGACGUGGCUGCUGAGCAGAGGGAAAGAGGCAAGACCAGUUUCCCCACAAAGCUCUGAGGGCUGGAGACCUCCCUGCAGCCGGUCAGGAAAGUCCGUCUGCGGAUUUUGCACCUGGGGAAACCUCCCGCUCACUCUCAGCAAUUCUUUCCCCCAACGUCAAACUGGCAUCCUCCCUACGUGGUGAUCAAAUUCAAUCCACAGCUCUAAAAAAAAGUUUACAUUCUGCAACCCCGCACCACCACCACAUCCCCAAGCAAAAAGUGAUAUUCACAUGCCCACCUUUGCAGAGAAGUCAGUCAGAACCCUCCUCGUACCCCUACAUUCUCUUAUGGUGACAAUGAAACUUGCUCCUGUGAUCAAUGAAAGGAAAGAGACAUGGCCAUUUCUAGCAGGCUGAAUGACCCAGUGUCAGAUUCACCGUGCCGCCUCCUGCCGCACUGUCUGCUUGCGCCCAGUGAGAACUCUACAUGGUGAUCACUCAGUGGGACCUUGAGUGAGGACAGUGAUUGGAGGUCCUUGCUAACCUGUAUUGGAUUAUAGCAUGAAUUGCAAAUAAAUAUUUGUUUUAAGUCUCUAAAA